UUGGAAAUGUCUUUCAGCCUCCAGCAUCUCAAUGAGUAAGGUCGUGUAACUUUUGCCCUUUUUAUAAAGUGAAUCUCUUUUGUUUUUCUAUUUCCUUCCUAAGUUACUGCCUGAUUUUUCAGCAACUGGUAGUGGAAUCCUCUGGAAUGUAUAUGUUGGAAGAGCUUUCAGGUUAGAUUUUGAGAUCUAAAGAAGCCCUUACCAUCAAGAUUUUGCAUAAAUCCUAAGGGUAUAGAUGGAGAAUUAAGAGGCGAAUUUGACAAAAAAUUUGCAGGCUUGGAGUGAAUGGUUCCAAUAGAGCAAAACGAAAGCUUCCCAAAAUAUCAUACCCAAGGGUACAUAAUCUGGAAAUUUCCUCCACCAUCUUCAUGCGGUUUUCUAAGUCUUGCUUUUCCCUUUCGAAGAAACAGCGAGAAAGGGAAGUUCGAUAUUUCGUCCCGACUAUCUAUGCAAAUUUGUAGAAUACAGAUAUGGAGGGAGGAAAAAUGACCAUUCGUGAAAGGCAACUGCUGUGGGAAAAAUGUGUUUUGUUGAUCUCCUGCUCAGAAAAAGCAAUCCAUAUGUUGUGUGAUAGAAGAAGAAUGAACAACAACUAUUGAUCUGAUUGAUAUUUGGAUAGCUGGAACUUAGAAGCUAAUGGAAGCUUAUGGAGUUUUGUCAUGAAUGCUUGAUACUUUGUUUUAUCCUUUCCAAUAUCUUUACCAGAAGUCAUUAGUUACUUCAACAGCCACUUGCUAUAGUAGAGAUAUCAAACUUUGUGAUGAUUUUUUUUUUUGAAAUUUUGACCACUAAUACAUAGUUCCACUAUAAUUGGCUAAUUGAACGCGACAGAAGAUAAGAAAGACGAGAGGCAUUUCUAGAUAUAGCAAUCAAUAUUUCUGGAUGAAUGUAUCUUAUAUCUUAAAUUGUAACUUUUCACAGGUAAUGAGAUGCAUCGUAC
Molecule: long non-coding RNA, 940 nt
Organism: Coffea eugenioides
Lineage: Eukaryota; Viridiplantae; Streptophyta; Magnoliopsida; Gentianales; Rubiaceae
Exons: 8
Source: RefSeq, a predicted model, not a curated record